AAAUGUUGUCUCUCUUGAGUGGAUCCUGAGUACGACGGAGCACGUGAAAUUCCGUCGGAAUCUGGGAGGACCAUCUCCUAAGGCUAAAUACUCUCUAGUGACCGAUAGCGAACCAGUACCGUGAGGGAAAGGUGAAAAGCACCCCGGAAGGGGAGUGAAAUAGAACCUGAAACCGUGUGCUUACAAGUAGUCAGAGCCCGUUAAUGGGUGAUGGCGUGCCUUUUGUAGAAUGAACCGGCGAGUUACGAUUUGAUGCAAGGUUAAGCAGUAAAUGUGGAGCCGUAGCGAAAGCGAGUCUGAAUAGGGCGUUUAGUAUUUGGUCGUAGACCCGAAACCAGGUGAUCUACCCUUGGUCAGGUUGAAGUUCAGGUAACACUGAAUGGAGGACCGAACCGACUUACGUUGAAAAGUGAGCGGAUGAACUGAGGGUAGCGGAGAAAUUCCAAUCGAACCUGGAGAUAGCUGGUUCUCUCCGAAAUAGCUUUAGGGCUAGCCUCAAGUGAUGAUUAUUGGAGGUAGAGCACUGUUUGGACGAGGGGCCCCUCUCGGGUUACCGAAUUCAGACAAACUCCGAAUGCCAAUUAAUUUAACUUGGGAGUCAGAACAUGGGUGAUAAGGUCCGUGUUCGAAAGGGAAACAGCCCAGACCACCAGCUAAGGUCCCAAAAUAUAUGUUAAGUGGAAAAGGAUGUGGCGUUGCCCAGACAACUAGGAUGUUGGCUUAGAAGCAGCCAUCAUUUAAAGAGUGCGUAAUAGCUCACUAGUCGAGUGACACUGCGCCGAAAAUGUACCGGGGCUAAACAUAUUACCGAAGCUGUGGAUUGUCCUUUGGACAAUGGUAGGAGAGCGUUCUAAGGGCGUUGAAGCAUGAUCGUAAGGACAUGUGGAGCGCUUAGAAGUGAGAAUGCCGGUGUGAGUAGCGAAAGACGGGUGAGAAUCCCGUCCACCGAUUGACUAAGGUUUCCAGAGGAAGGCUCGUCCGCUCUGGGUUAGUCGGGUCCUAAGCUGAGGCCGACAGGCGUAGGCGAUGGAUAACAGGUUGAUAUUCCUGUACCACCUAUAAUCGUUUUAAUCGAUGGGGGGACGCAGUAGGAUAGGCGAAGCGUGCGAUUGGAUUGCACGUCUAAGCAGUAAGGCUGAGUAUUAGGCAAAUCCGGUACUCAUUAAGGCUGAGCUGUGAUGGGGAGAAGACAUUGUGUCUUCGAGUCGUUGAUUUCACACUGCCGAGAAAAGCCUCUAGAUAGAAAAUAGGUGCCCGUACCGCAAACCGACACAGGUAGUCAAGAUGAGAAUUCUAAGGUGAGCGAGCGAACUCUCGUUAAGGAACUCGGCAAAAUGACCCCGUAACUUCGGGAGAAGGGGUGCUCUUUAGGGUUAACGCCCAGAAGAGCCGCAGUGAAUAGGCCCAAGCGACUGUUUAUCAAAAACACAGGUCUCUGCUAAACCGUAAGGUGAUGUAUAGGGGCUGACGCCUGCCCGGUGCUGGAAGGUUAAGAGGAGUGGUUAGCUUCUGCGAAGCUACGAAUCGAAGCCCCAGUAAACGGCGGCCGUAACUAUAACGGUCCUAAGGUAGCGAAAUUCCUUGUCGGGUAAGUUCCGACCCGCACGAAAGGCGUAACGAUUUGGGCACUGUCUCAACGAGAGACUCGGUGAAAUCAUAGUACCUGUGAAGAUGCAGGUUACCCGCGACAGGACGGAAAGACCCCGUGGAGCUUUACUGUAGCCUGAUAUUGAAAUUCGGCACAGCUUGUACAGGAUAGGUAGGAGCCUUUGAAACGUGAGCGCUAGCUUACGUGGAGGCGCUGGUGGGAUACUACCCUAGCUGUGUUGGCUUUCUAACCCGCACCACUUAUCGUGGUGGGAGACAGUGUCAGGCGGGCAGUUUGACUGGGGCGGUCGCCUCCUAAAAGGUAACGGAGGCGCUCAAAGGUUCCCUCAGAAUGGUUGGAAAUCAUUCAUAGAGUGUAAAGGCAUAAGGGAGCUUGACUGCGAGACCUACAAGUCGAGCAGGGUCGAAAGACGGACUUAGUGAUCCGGUGGUUCCGCAUGGAAGGGCCAUCGCUCAACGGAUAAAAGCUACCCCGGGGAUAACAGGCUUAUCUCCCCCAAGAGUUCACAUCGACGGGGAGGUUUGGCACCUCGAUGUCGGCUCAUCGCAUCCUGGGGCUGUAGUCGGUCCCAAGGGUUGGGCUGUUCGCCCAUUAAAGCGGUACGCGAGCUGGGUUCAGAACGUCGUGAGACAGUUCGGUCCCUAUCCGUCGUGGGCGUAGGAAAUUUGAGAGGAGCUGUCCUUAGUACGAGAGGACCGGGAUGGACAUACCUCUGGUGUACCAGUUGUCGUGCCAACGGCAUAGCUGGGUAGCUAUGUGUGGACGGGAUAAGUGCUGAAAGCAUCUAAGCAUGAAGCCCCCCUCAAGAUGAGAUUUCCCAACUUCGGUUAUAAGAUCCCUCAAAGAUGAUGAGGUUAAUAGGUUCGAGGUGGAAGCAUGGUGACAUGUGGAGCUGACGAAUACUAA
Molecule: ribosomal RNA, 2515 nt
Filed under: Staphylococcus aureus
Lineage: Bacteria; Bacillati; Bacillota; Bacilli; Caryophanales; Staphylococcaceae
Description: partial 23S ribosomal RNA
Rfam family: Bacterial large subunit ribosomal RNA
Source: RNAcentral